GUUGGAGUCAUAAGAAAAGGCCCAAUGGUUGACUAUUACGUUCAAGUUCUAACCAAAGUUCUUGGGAAUGAGAAGGAUGCACAGAUGUGCUUAUAUCAUGUGUCCUGGCAAGCCAAUUAUGGAUUUUGUUGCGAAUUAGAUGAGGCGUGUGCUCAAGAAUUAGCUGGAGUGCCUGGUGUUCUAUCUGUUCAGCCAGAUGAAAAUUUUGAUUCGGACAAUAAAGACUAUGGAGGUGGGAAUUUGAAGCUGAGUGUAGAUUCCCAGGAAUCUACAGCAUCAAAGGAGGAAACCGAUGUUAGAACGAAGAAGCUUUUUGUGACUGGUUUGUCAUUCUAU
RNAcentral lists this unclassified non-coding RNA (336 nucleotides) under Hevea brasiliensis (rubber tree). The record is from RNAcentral. Lineage: Eukaryota; Viridiplantae; Streptophyta; Magnoliopsida; Malpighiales; Euphorbiaceae.